UUCUAGACAGUGUGGCCGACAUCAAC
RNAcentral lists this non-coding RNA (26 nucleotides) under Mus musculus (house mouse). The record is from RNAcentral. Lineage: Eukaryota; Metazoa; Chordata; Mammalia; Rodentia; Muridae.